UACGUAGGGACCGAGCGUUGUCCGGAUUCAUUGGGCGUAAAGAGCUCGUAGGCGGUUCGGUAAGUCGGGUGUGAAACCUCCAGGCUCAACCUGGAGACGCCACCUGAUACUGCUGUGACUAGAGUCCGGUAGGGGAGCGUGGAAUUCCUAGUGUAGCGGUGAAAUGCGCAGAUAUCAGGAGGAACACCGGUGGCGAAGGCGGAUCUCUGGGCCUUACCUGACGCUGAGGCGCGAAAGCUAGGGGAGCGAACAGG
Molecule: ribosomal RNA, 254 nt
Filed under: uncultured bacterium
Lineage: Bacteria
Description: partial 16S ribosomal RNA
Rfam family: Bacterial small subunit ribosomal RNA
Source: RNAcentral